CCCCUCGUUCAACCUCACCACCCCUAGCCUAGCCCGCCUAUAUACCGCCGUCGUCAGCUUACCCUUGUGAAGGCACCAUAGUAAGCAAAAAGGGCACAACCCAAAACGUCAGGUCGAGGUGUAGCGCAUGAGGUGGGAAGAAAUGGGCUACAUUCUCUUUUUUAGAGAACACGAAGGCCGUGAUGCAACUCACACCAGAAGGCGGAUUUAGCAGUAAGAAGGAAAAAUGAGCGUUCUUCUGAAGCCGGCUAUGAAGCGCGCACACACCGCCCGUCACCCUCA
This 282-nucleotide ribosomal RNA is filed under the name Sudis hyalina. RNAcentral describes it as "partial 12S ribosomal RNA". Lineage: Eukaryota; Metazoa; Chordata; Actinopteri; Aulopiformes; Paralepididae. The record is from RNAcentral.